AGAACGAACGCUGGCGGCAUGCCUAAUACAUGCAAGUCGAACGAAGGCUUCGGCCUUAGUGGCGCACGGGUGCGUAACGCGUGGGAAUCUGCCCCUUGGUUCGGAAUAACAGUUGGAAACGACUGCUAAUACCGGAUGAUGACGAAAGUCCAAAGAUUUAUCGCCAAGGGAUGAGCCCGCGUAGGAUUAGCUAGUUGGUGAGGUAAAGGCUCACCAAGGCGACGAUCCUUAGCUGGUCUGAGAGGAUGAUCAGCCACACUGGGACUGAGACACGGCCCAGACUCCUACGGGAGCAGCAGUAGGGAAUAUUGGACAAUGGGCGAAAGCCUGAUCCAGCAAUGCCGCGUGAGUGAUGAAGGCCUUAGGGUUGUAAAGCUCUUUUACCCGAGAUGAUAAUGACAGUAUCGGGAGAAUAAGCCCCGGAUAACCUCCGCGCCACGCAGCCGC
Molecule: ribosomal RNA, 447 nt
Filed under: uncultured soil bacterium
Lineage: Bacteria
Description: bacterial SSU rRNA
Rfam family: Bacterial small subunit ribosomal RNA
Source: RNAcentral